RNAcentral lists this ribosomal RNA (460 nucleotides) under uncultured bacterium. RNAcentral describes it as "partial 16S ribosomal RNA". It matches the Rfam family "Bacterial small subunit ribosomal RNA", at positions 338 to 795 of the family's 1533-position model. The record is from RNAcentral.
CCUACGGGGGGCAGCAGUGAGGAAUAUUGGUCAAUGGGCGGAAGCCUGAACCAGCCAAGUCGCGUGAGGGAAUAAGGCCCUACGGGUCGUAAACCUCUUUUGCCGGGGAGCAAGGGCGGGGACGUGUCCCGUCCCGGAGAGUACCCGGAGAAAAAGCAUCGGCUAACUCCGUGCCAGCAGCCGCGGUAAUACGGAGGAUGCGAGCGUUAUCCGGAUUUAUUGGGUUUAAAGGGUGCGUAGGCGGGCUUUUAAGUCAGCGGUAAAAAUUCGGGGCUCAACCCCGUCCGGCCGUUGAAACUGGGGGCCUUGAGUGGGAGAGAAGAAGGCGGAAUGCGUGGUGUAGCGGUGAAAUGCAUAGAUAUCACGCAGAACCCUGAUUGCGAAGGCAGCCUUCCGGAGCCCUACUGACGCUGAGGCACGAAAGUGCGGGGAUCGAACAGGAUUAGAUACCCGGGUAGUC